This 2865-nucleotide ribosomal RNA is filed under the name Prochlorococcus sp. AG-335-E22. RNAcentral's name for it is "bacterial LSU rRNA". It matches the Rfam family "Bacterial large subunit ribosomal RNA". The record is from RNAcentral. Lineage: Bacteria; Bacillati; Cyanobacteriota; Cyanophyceae; Synechococcales; Prochlorococcaceae.
CAAAGGGCUCACGGAGGAUACCUAGGCACACAGAGGCGAUGAAGGACGUGGUUACCUGCGAUAAGUCUCGGGGAGUUGGAAGCACACUUUGAUCCGGGAAUUUCCGAAUGGGGCAACCCCUUGAACGACCAACUGAAUAUAUAGGUUGGUGCGAGCUAACCCAGCGAACUGAAACAUCUUAGUAGCUGGAGGAAGAGAAAGUAAAUAACGACUCCCUCAGUAGCGGCGAGCGAACGGGGAAUAGCCCAAACCGAUAGUCUUGACUAUCGGGGUUGUGGGACAGCAAUAUGGAUCAACAAUUCUAGAAGAAACGUUUGAAUGGCGUGCCAUAGAGGGUGAAAGCCCCGUAAUUGAAAGAUGAGUUGACCUAGCUGUAUCCCGAGUAGCACGGAGCACGUGGAAUUCCGUGUGAAUCUGCGAGGACCACCUCGUAAGGCUAAGUACUACUGUGUGACCGAUAGUGAAACAGUACCGCGAGGGAAAGGUGAAAAGAACCCCGGGAGGGGAGUGAAAUAGAACAUGAAACCGUGAGCUUACAAGCAAUGGGAGCCCGACUAAUCGGGUGACCGUGUGCCUGUUGAAGAAUGAGCCGGCGACUUAUAGGCACUGGCGGGUUAAACCGGAAAUGGUGGAGCCACAGCGAAAGCGAGUCUUAAUAGGGCGUUUGUCAGUGUUUAUAGACCCGAACCCUGGUGAUCUAACCAUGGCCAGGAUGAAGCUUGGGUGAUACCAAGUGGAGGUCCGAACCGACUGAAGUUGAAAAUUCAGCGGAUGAGCUGUGGUUAGGGGUGAAAUGCCAAUCGAACCAGGAGCUAGCUGGUUCUCCCCGAAAUACGUUGAGGCGUAGCGUCUAGUGCUCCAGCAGGGGGGUAAAGCAACCAUUUCGGUGCGGGCUGCGAAAGCGGUACCAAAUCGAUAUGAACUCUGAAUACCCUGUGUGUAACUAGGCAGUCAGACUGUGGGGGAUAAGCUCCAUAGUCAAGAGGGAAACAGCCCAGACCGCCAGCUAAGGUCCCAAAAUUAACGCUAAGUGAUAAAGGAGGUGGGAUUGCCCAGACAACCAGGAGGUUUGCCUAGAAGCAGCCAUCCUCAAAGGAGUGCGUAAUAGCUCACUGGUCGAGCGAUCCUGCGCCGAAAAUGAAUGGGGCUAAGCGUUAUACCGAAGCUGCGGAUAAAUUUAUUUAUGGUAGGGGAGCGUUCUAUGUUGGGUGAAGCGUUAGCGUAAGCGGACGUGGACGGCAUAGAAGUGAGAAUGUCGGCUUGAGUAGCGAAAACAUGGGUGAGAAUCCCAUGCCCCGAAACCCUAAGGGUUCCUCCGGCAGGCUCGUCCGCGGAGGGUUAGUCUGGACCUAAGGCGAGGCCGAAAGGCGUAGUCGAUGGAUAACAGGUCAAUAUUCCUGUACCAGUUAUGUUUUGGGAAGGGGGACGGAGAAGGCUAGCCAGGCCAGAUGUUGGUUACUGGUUCAAGCGUUCAAGGCUUUGAGAGAUGGAGAAAACAUCUUGAGCUGAGGCGUGAGUACGAGCUGCUACGGCAGCGAAGUUGGUGAUGUCAUGCUUCCAAGAAAAGCCCUAUACCCGUUAAGACAUAAAUGCCAGUACCCGAAACCGACACAGGUGGGGUGGUAGAGAAUACCGAGGGGCGCGAGAUAACUCUCUCUAAGGAACUCGGCAAAAUGGCCCCGUAACUUCGGGAGAAGGGGUGCCAGCGAGAGCUGGUCGCAGUGAAGAGGCGCAAGCGACUGUUUACCAAAAACACAGGUCUCCGCUAAGUCGCAAGACGAUGUAUGGGGGCUGACACCUGCCCAGUGCCGGAAGGUUAAGGAAGCUGGUUAGCUUUUAGCAAAGCUAGCGACUGAAGCCCCGGUGAACGGCGGCCGUAACUAUAACGGUCCUAAGGUAGCGAAAUUCCUUGUCGGGUAAGUUCCGACCCGCACGAAAGGUGUAACGAUUUGCGCGCUGUCUCGGAGAGAGGCUCGGCGAAAUAGAAUUGUCUGUGAAGAUGCGGACUACAUACACCCGGACAGAAAGACCCUAUGAAGCUUUACUGUAGUUUGAUAUUGUGCUCGGGCUCUAAUUGCGCAGAAUAGGUGGGAGACAUUGAAAUAGUACUUGUGGGUAUUAUUGAGUCAUCGGUGAGAUACCACUCUAUUAGAGCUAGGGUUCUAACGCUUACCCGUUAUCCGGGAAGCGGACAGUAUCUGAUGGGCAGUUUGACUGGGGCGGUCGCCUCCUAAAAGGUAACGGAGGCGCACAAAGGUUCCCUCAGGCUGGUUGGAAAUCAGUCGUUGAGUGCAAAAGCAGAAGGGAGCUUGACUGUGAGACCUACAAGUCGAACAGGGACGAAAGUCGGUUUUAGUGAUCCGACGGUUCUGCGUGGAAGGGCCGUCGCUCAACGGAUAAAAGUUACUCUAGGGAUAACAGGCUGAUCUCCCCCAAGAGUUCACAUCGACGGGGAGGUUUGGCACCUCGAUGUCGGCUCAUCGCAACCUGGGGCUGAAGUCGGUCCCAAGGGUUGGGCUGUUCGCCCAUUAAAGCGGUACGCGAGCUGGGUUCAGAACGUCGUGAGACAGUUCGGUCCAUAUCCGGUGUAUGCGCAGGAAUAUUGAGAGGAUUUCUCCCUAGUACGAGAGGACCGGGAGGAACGCACCUCUGGUGUGCCAGUUAUCGUGCCAACGGUAAACGCUGGGUAGCCAUGUGCGGAGUGGAUAACCGCUGAAAGCAUCUAAGUGGGAAGCCCACCUCAAGAUGAGUAUUGCCAUGGCUUAAGCCAGUAAGGUCACGGGAAGAACACCCGUUGAUAGGCUCUACGUGGAAGCUUGGUAACAAGUGCAGCGGAGGAGUACUAAUAGACCGAGGGCUUGACCA